This 566-nucleotide ribosomal RNA is filed under the name Rhodotorula mucilaginosa. Its description in RNAcentral is "eukaryotic LSU rRNA". The stretch from base 155 to 308 matches the Rfam family "5.8S ribosomal RNA". The record is from RNAcentral. Lineage: Eukaryota; Fungi; Basidiomycota; Microbotryomycetes; Sporidiobolales; Sporidiobolaceae.
AGUGAAUAUAGGACGUCCAACUUAACUUGGAGUCCGAACUCUCACUUUCUAACCCUGUGCACUUGUUUGGGAUAGUAACUCUCGCAAGAGAGCGAACUCCUAUUCACUUAUAAACACAAAGUCUAUGAAUGUAUUAAAUUUUAUAACAAAAUAAAACUUUCAACAACGGAUCUCUUGGCUCUCGCAUCGAUGAAGAACGCAGCGAAAUGCGAUAAGUAAUGUGAAUUGCAGAAUUCAGUGAAUCAUCGAAUCUUUGAACGCACCUUGCGCUCCAUGGUAUUCCGUGGAGCAUGCCUGUUUGAGUGUCAUGAAUACUUCAACCCUCCUCUUUCUUAAUGAUUGAAGAGGUGUUUGGUUUCUGAGCGCUGCUGGCCUUUACGGUCUAGCUCGUUCGUAAUGCAUUAGCAUCCGCAAUCGAACUUCGGAUUGACUUGGCGUAAUAGACUAUUCGCUGAGGAAUUCUAGUCUUCGGACUAGAGCCGGGUUGGGUUAAAGGAAGCUUCUAAUCAGAAUGUCUACAUUUUAAGAUUAGAUCUCAAAUCAGGUAGGACUACCCGCUGAACUUA